Schistosoma haematobium is the source of this 45-nucleotide non-coding RNA. The record is from Rfam. NCBI's taxonomy places the organism in Eukaryota, Metazoa, Platyhelminthes, Trematoda, Strigeidida, Schistosomatidae.
AUCUAGCUGUCGAAUCCCAAAUAAGAUGAAACGCGCGUCCUGGAU